CUACGGGAGGCAGCAGUGGGGAAUCUUGGACAAUGGGGGCAACCCUGAUCCAGCCAUGCCGCGUGAGUGAUGAAGGCCUUAGGGUCGUAAAGCUCUUUCGCCUGUGAUGAUAAUGACAGUAGCAGGUAAAGAAACCCCGGCUAACUCCGUGCCAGCAGCCGCGGUAAUACGGAGGGGGUUAGCGUUGUUCGGAAUUACUGGGCGUAAAGCGCGCGUAGGCGGACUGGAAAGUUGGGGGUGAAAUCCCGGGGCUCAACCCCGGAACUGCCUCCAAAACUAUCAGUCUAGAGUUCGAGAGAGGUGAGUGGAAUUCCGAGUGUAGAGGUGAAAUUCGUAGAUAUUCGGAGGAACACCAGUGGCGAAGGCGGCUCACUGGCUCGAUACUGACGCUGAGGUGCGAAAGUGUGGGGAGCAAACAGGAUUAGAUACCCUGGUAGUCCACGCCGUAAACGAUGAAUGCCAGUCGUCGGGCAGCAUGCUGUUCGGUGACGCACCUAACGGAUUAAGCAUUCCGCCUGGGGAGUACGGUCGCAAGAUUAAAACUCAAAGGAAUUGACGG
RNAcentral lists this ribosomal RNA (559 nucleotides) under uncultured Paracoccaceae bacterium. RNAcentral describes it as "bacterial SSU rRNA". It matches the Rfam family "Bacterial small subunit ribosomal RNA", at positions 339 to 916 of the family's 1533-position model. The record is from RNAcentral. Lineage: Bacteria; Pseudomonadati; Pseudomonadota; Alphaproteobacteria; Rhodobacterales; Paracoccaceae.